Molecule: ribosomal RNA, 469 nt
Filed under: uncultured microorganism
Description: bacterial SSU rRNA
Rfam family: Bacterial small subunit ribosomal RNA
Source: RNAcentral
GAGUUUGAUCAUGGCUCAGAACGAACGCUGGCGGCAUGCCUAACACAUGCAAGUCGAACGAGAUCUUCGGAUCUAGUGGCGCACGGGUGCGUAACGCGUGGGAAUCUGCCCUUGGGUGCGGAAUAACUUCUCGAAAGGGAUGCUAAUACCGCAUAAUGUCGUAAGACCAAAGAUUUAUCGCCCAAGGAUGAGCCCGCGUAAGAUUAGCUAGUUGGUGGGGUAAAAGCCUACCAAGGCGACGAUCUUUAGCUGGUCUGAGAGGAUGAUCAGCCACACUGGGACUGAGACACGGCCCAGACUCCUACGGGAGGCAGCAGUGGGGAAUAUUGGACAAUGGGCGAAAGCCUGAUCCAGCAAUGCCGCGUGAGUGAUGAAGGCCCUAGGGUUGUAAAGCUCUUUUACCCGGGAUGAUAAUGACAGUACCGGGAGAAUAAGCUCCGGCUAACUCCGUGCCAGCAGCCGCCGUAAU